AUAAUCUCAGCUAUGUGUGGUGCAUUAUUCUAGUCAUAACACUAUAUGAAGAUGGGGCUAAAAAUCCAUCAAUUACAUUACCGACACUUCUUAUAUUUGCUUUAUCGGCCCAAGUUAGGGUGAGUAUAAGAUUUAAAAUUUAAGGAAAGUUAUAAUGGCAUAUAACCUACAAUCCUUUCAUUGCGUCAUUUUUAAGUUUCGUAUGUCGUGCGUGAAUAUUAGGAAUACUACAAGUUGAAAUAAUAUUUGCAAAAGCGAAUAAGUAUAGUUACUUAUGUCAGGGAAAACCUCUAGACUGUCUAUAUUAAGAGUAUUGAAGUGCGGACUAAGUGGCAAUCGAGUAAUUAAUGAAAUAAAUAUUAAUUAAAUAUCCUAAAGACGAAAGUGCCAAUGAGUAAUCAAGUGGAAGAUAUUUAGAGAAACUCAACUCGACCUCAAGCCGUAAAAUUAACUUUUGAUAUACCAUGCAAAAAUUAGAAUAU
This 482-nucleotide small RNA is filed under the name Mycoplasma sp. CAG:956. Lineage: Bacteria; Bacillati; Mycoplasmatota; Mollicutes; Mycoplasmatales; Mycoplasmataceae. The record is from RNAcentral.